CCUACGGGUGGCAGCAGUGGGGAAUUUUGCGCAAUGGGGGAAACCCUGACGCAGCAACGCCGCGUGGAGGAUGAAGUAUUUCGGUACGUAAACUCCUUUCGAUGGGGAUACGGUACCCAUAGAAGAAGCCCCGGCUAACUUCGUGCCAGCAGCCGCGGUAAUACGAGGGGGGCAAGCGUUGUUCGGAUUUAUUGGGCGUAAAGGGUGCGUAGGCGGUUUGGGAAGUCUCGUGUGAAAUCUAUGGGCUUAACCCAGAGCCUGAACGAGAAACUACCGAGCUUGAUUGAUGGAGAGGUGAGUGGAAUUUCCGGUGUAGCGGUGAAAUGCGUAGAUAUCGGAAGGAACACCUGUGGCGAAAGCGGCUCACUGGCAUAACUGACGCUGAUGCACGAAAGCUAGUGGAGCAAACAGGAUCAGAUACCCUUGUAGUC
Molecule: ribosomal RNA, 431 nt
Filed under: uncultured bacterium
Lineage: Bacteria
Description: partial 16S ribosomal RNA
Rfam family: Bacterial small subunit ribosomal RNA
Source: RNAcentral